AUCUCCUACGGGGGGCAGCAGUGGGGAAUAUUGCACAAUGGGGGAAACCCUGAUGCAGCGACGCCGCGUGAGCGAUGAAGUAUUUCGGUAUGUAAAGCUCUAUCAGCAGGGAAGAAAAUGACGGUACCUGACUAAGAAGCCCCGGCUAACUACGUGCCAGCAGCCGCGGUAAUACGUAGGGGGCAAGCGUUAUCCGGAUUUACUGGGUGUAAAGGGAGCGUAGACGGCAAUGCAAGCCGGAUGUGAAAGCCCGGGGCGCAAGCCCGGGACUGCAUUUG
Molecule: ribosomal RNA, 278 nt
Filed under: uncultured bacterium
Lineage: Bacteria
Description: partial 16S ribosomal RNA
Rfam family: Bacterial small subunit ribosomal RNA
Source: RNAcentral